CAAACCAUCCAAAGAAACGAAACUUCCAGGUGGUAGAGUGGUAAGACAGAAAGGCCUAGAGACAAGACUAACUCUCUACUCUUUCAUUGGGCGUACUUGUAUAAUAUACAAGUACACCCACUGAAAGAGUAGUGAGUUAGUCUUAUCUAUAUUAUAAGGUUUACGGUUUAAGUUGUGACUGGUGUAGUACUUAGUCUUGAUUCAAGUUGCACAAACUCAUUUCCUUUGCAGUGACACAUUUAAAGGACAGUAAAAACAACUGUCCUUAUAUAAAAAACAAAACAAAAAAACUUGAAUCAAAACUAAGAACUGUGCCGUCACUAUACUUUGAGUAGAUGGUGAAGUCUCAUGUGCAAUCUUUUUGUUUUGUCUUCCAUAGUAUCCUGCUCUUCCUAAAGUGGAUGUUGUGACGAGUGCUUGAGUAUUGAAACCAAGAAAUUGAGCUGAAAACUCCUUUUGGUGAUCCUGAUACAAGGACAGAGGUCAGCGGGCCCAGUGACCUCGGUCCUUGUAUCCCGCGCGGGGUGUGUAUUUGUUUUCCUAAGACAGAUGAGGCCGCUUACCAUAAGACGCAUGCUUAGUGGCCUUAUCUGUCCUGGGAAAAAAAAUACGCGCGCAGGGUCAAUGAAGCCAGGUGGUUGUGGCAACGGUUAAGUAUCAGGUUAAGUAUUGGGUAAAGUAUGUGUGAGGUUGGGUGACAAAAUCUUGCCCUUCACAGCUUAAGUUUCCUAAAAAGAAGGGUUCAUGUGAAUGCGAUACUAGUUUUGACGUCACAUAGCCCUGUUUUCACUGUGAAUGUUUCGCAUGAGUUGCAGUCCAGCUCUUCCGAAUCAUUUAGUUCAAAUUUGUGCAUCAAAACUUGUACCGCAUUUGCAUUGGUUGGGAGUAUAUGAACCGUGCUUAACCCUGUUUUUGUUUUCUAUUGUCUGUUUGCAGCUACUGCAGAAGUGGAUGUUGUAGCAAGGAAUCAUUCACUGAUGACAACUGGGAAACCGUAGGUUGCAUUGGUAAAGUAUAAGGCACUUUCUAUAAGGUUAUCUGUGGUGAACUUGAAUUUGGCGAAAGCCAGAUUCAUACUUCCUGUGAAUUUGAAGUGCAUUUUGAUGUCACGGCUGUUUUCUCACGAUGUUUCGCAGGAGUUGAAAAUAGUUCAACUGUUGCAAAUUGUUCGUUGCUAGUUUGUUACGUCAGUUAUUAGCUUAUUUGCAUUGGCUGGAAGUAUAAACCAGGCUUACUUGAUGUGACCCCAAAAUGCUUACCUUUCAAGAUUUAAGUAUUCCUUACAGAAAGCAGAGCAUUCUUUGUUCCUGAAGUUGAUGAAGGGAUUUGUGUGCUGACAUUUUGAACUGUGUUGAGGUGAUGACUACCAACAAAGACUGGAUGGGGUCAUGCAAAAGGUUUGGUGAAAUAUAUCGAGACUUGCAAGUUACUGGUGAAGAAAUUAUUUUAGUUCCUUCAAAAUGGCACAUCUCUAGAAAUUUUGAGAAUUAUAAACAAAUCUAAACAUCCUAGAAGUUUUGGAAACAAAAACAGUUUUUAGAAUCUUGCAUAAAAUCUCUGAACAAGACACAAGCAAAAAGUAUAGUAAAAACAAGCAGAAAGAGUACUAGCAUCGUUUGAGAUUCGACAUCCAUGGACAACCAGCAAACCAGCAAUAAAACUUUUUAUUGGUUCACAAAAACUUGAGAAUGAAAUAACUUGGUCUAUAAAAAUUGUGUUUUGUACAAUUCCCCAAAACUUCAACAGUUCCCGGAGCAAUGGAAGUCAUCUCUUCGUAAUGUACGGUGAACCUGAAUUUGAUAAAAGCCAUGUUAAUACUUCCUACAAAUUCAAAGCUAAUUUGACAUCAGUUUGUUUUAUGUCAAUAUUCGCAUUUGCAGGAAGUAUGAACCAGGCUUGCUUGAUGUGAUCCCAAAAUGAUAACCUUUCUAGAUUUAAGUUUUUCUUACAGAAAGAAGAUCAUUCUUUGUUCCUGAUAUGGUGAAGAAAUUUGUCUGCUUAACAUUUCCAACUGUGUUGAGGUGAUGUCUACCAAUAAGGACUGGGGUCAUGCAAAAGGUUUGGUGAAAUGUAUCGAGUUUUACAAGUUACUGGUGACAAAAGUACCUCCAAAAUGGGACAUCUCAAGACAUUUUGAGAAUUAUAGAAGAAAUCUAACCAUCAGUUUAUUCUUGAAAUUUCGGGGGGAAAAUAAGUUUUGAAUCUUGCAAACAAAUCUCUGAACAAGACAGAAGCAAAAAGUAUAGUAAAAACAAGCAGAAAGAAUACUAGCAUCGUUUGAGAUUCGACAUCCAUCGACAACCAUCGACAAAUCAUCAAUAACAGUUUUUUUUUUUUCAAUAAAUCUUGAGAAUGAAAUAACUUGCCCUAAACAAAUUGCGUUUUGUACAGUCUCCUAAAGCUGCAACAAUUCCUGGAGCAAUGGAAGUCAGCUCUUCUUUCAAUUUAUCACAGAAAUUUAUGAACCCACGAUGACAGAUUGGUCUGUCUUUACUUUUCUAUUUCCUCAGUUGAGAAGUCUUUUGACUACAACAGGAGCUUGGAAUGAGCAUCGGUGGAGGAUACAGUGUGUACCAUUCUGGAUACCGAGAGCGUCUUGAGUAAAGGCUACAUUCUCAUGUGUCAUGGCUACUACCUGUUGUGAUGUCAAUUGUGGAAGAUACAGAUGCAAAUUGACUCAAGAUAAACCACUUGAUAGAUAGAGACAAGUGACCUUGGAGAUGACAUACAUGAGGUUAAUCAAUAAUCAUAAAGAAGGACUGUGUCAAGUUUAGCAAGAUGACUCUCCACUACAAGUUCAACCGUUCAAGUUAUGCGAGGGAUGCUGAGGCUAUAACCAAUGUAUUUCAGACUUUGUGCCAUGAGCUGAAGGACUGUGUCAAGUUUAGCCAGAUGACUCUUUGUUGUGCCCGAGUGACAGAGGGAUGUUGAGGCUAAGCAACAAUUUUUCAACGAUGUUCCACCAUCUAACUGUCUACAGCGAGAUGAAAUCUGCUAUAAUUUCAACUGUUGCAAUGGCAUAUGGAUAUUCAAUAUUCAUGUUAAGCAGUGCUUCUUGGACAGUGUGCCACAAGCCGAAGAAUUGUGACAAUUCUAGCCAAAUUAUGACUUGUUGCUACAAGGAUGCGAGGACGAGAGAUUUUUGGAUGGUGUGCCGUUACCUGGAGGAUUAUGUUAUGUCUAACUAUGACUCGCUGAAGUUCAACCAUUGAAUUGGUAUAGGGAUUGUUGAGGCUGCAACAACUUUGCCAUCCACUGAUAAGACUGUAGUCUAGGACUCUAGGCAUUUGAUUCGCCAAGCGUUGACUGAAACAAUUAGCUGGACAAUGACCGCGACUUAAUGUAUAAAGACACUUAAGAAGAGGACCCAUCUUUUAGGCCGCAUCUGAGUUUGUGACUGCAGAGUGGCUGUGGCUGUUGCUGUUGCUGUUGCUAUGGGCCUCAUAAUAUUAUGCGUAAGGCAUGAUCAAGUCACAGCCACAUCGGCAGCCACUAACUCUGCCAUAGUUUAACAUUACUCAUCAAUAGGCUUUUCUUGAAUCCAUCAAACUCCUACCAAUGUACAAUGUAAAACCACAUCAGGGCCCAAUUUCAUAAAGCUGUUCAGCAGAAAAUUCUGCUAAGCAAAUUUCUGCGCUAUGUAAGAGAUGACAGGGGUUACCAGUCCCAGCAGUGGUAACUGUAGUCCUCCGACUGGUAACAAGUUUUUUUUGCUAAUAAAAUUUUGUUGUGUGCCAAGCAAGUUGUUGUGCAACAAGCUUUAUGAAAUUGGGCCAAGUUGAUUUAAAAGUGGAUGCCUUGGCUCAUGCCAUGCAUCGUUGGUUUAUCAGAAUAAGAUUAAUUACAUUCAGUACAAAACCCGUACGAUUUUGAUGGAUUCACAGUGGUUAGGAAUAGAACUUAAAAAAUGGUACAGCUUCUGUCUUCAGACAAGAAAAAUCAAAAUUUGUAAGCGCAAUAUGUAAGCGCAACUUAUAAUGAAGUGAUUUUGCUUCAUGGAACACUCUGACUGAAAAUGUAAAAAACAUUGGUCACAUUCUUUGCAACUGGAGAAUUAAAUUAAUAUUAAUUAAUUAUACAUCUUCAGAUAGCAAAAGCUGUACCACCAAAAAAAAAUUGUAAACUAAGGAGAAUUAUGUGCUUGUCUGUGAUUAAAUUCAAAGUCAUAAAAACAUUUUUAGAAACCAUGGCAAGAAAUGCUCAUAAUGUUGUAGAAAAACGCCUAAGAUGAUCGAGGGAAGAUAAUCAGACAAAAUUGUCCCACCUGGGUCUUUGGAUUGGGCCCAAGUUUAAAAAGCUGUGUUUAAAAGCAGAAAAAAACUGCUGAGCAAACUUCUUUUCUUAUCAAGAAAAUGGGCAUGGCACCAGUCACAACAAUACAAACUUCAUGGACUUUUGGCUGGUAACCAUUCCUGCUAAGCAAACUGUGCUGAACAAGUUUUUGCAGUGUAUACAUUUUUGUUUUUAAAAUGGGUAAAAUUUAUGAUCAUUUUGGUUAACUUUGUAAGAUUCUAAAAACCAGUUCACUCUUAAUCAAAACAACACUUAGUCAUACGCGACAUAAUUUUGACUAACUUACAUCAAAGUCAUGUCUCAUUAUGACUUAUUAGUGUUGUUUUGACUAAUGUAUUUUUAUCUACACACCUGUACCAAAGCACACUGCUUAUUAUGAAAUAUCAUUCAAAGAUGUGUGGGAAUUUUCAAAUUGUACACUUGAGCGCAAAUAGACAGACACAUUUCCAUGAAGACAUUUGCAAGAAAAUUUUGGUAUGUUGCAGAGCGAACACAAACCUACACCACAAUUACAGCACUAAGGCUCAGUUUCACAAAGGGCUAAGAUUUAUCAUAAAUUAUCAAUCUUAAUUGCUAGGCAGAGUGUGAUGUCAUGAAAUCACUACUAGCUUAUUUUAAGAUGAGUCUUGGUGUUUAUUGAAACCAUGCCCAUCAGCACUCCAUAACCCUUACCCUAACACUGAACUAAAAACUUCAUUCUUUAAUCUAACCUCUGCACUAAACCAUAACAAUGUCACUCAAUAAUGUUUCAUUUGAACACUUAAUCCAUGCACCAACCUCUGUUCAAUCUGCCCAAUGCAAAAAUAGUAACAAUCAUUUUAUAAAAACAAAAUGUGUCCACUUGCGCUCAAAAACAAUGUUGUGUUUAUUUACUAAGGUUAUUUGAAGUAGGCCUAAUGACUGUAGCAGCUAGACCAUAAAAUACAUUUAUUUAUUUAAUAAUUUCUAAUUGGUGUUUUCUAUGACUGUAUGGGGGAAGGGGGAGGGGGGGGGGGCGUAAGUUAAAAUGACACAUGAAUGGUUUAUCGUCAAGUAUAUAAAAAUGAAAUUAAGUUUGGUAAUAAUAUUCUUUAAUCUGAGAGCUACCUCGCAGGCCCAGUUUGAGAAGGGCACUUCCAUUGGGAAAUUUUAAAGUCUAUGGGAAAAAUCAUUGAAGGUUGCCGCUAGGCCAGGGCCCAACCAAGAUCUGUGCUAAAGUAGCAGCAAUAUAAUAUGUCAAAUAAUCUUAAUAUUUUUAAAAUUGGCUGUUUCUAGCCAUAACUGUUGUUUUUUUAUAAUGUAUGGAGGUUGCCUUUUGAGGAUGAAUAAAGUUUGUUGAAUUGAA
This is a long non-coding RNA of Asterias rubens (European starfish), 5617 nucleotides long. RefSeq lists it as uncharacterized. The record is from RefSeq and is a predicted model, not a curated record. NCBI's taxonomy places the organism in Eukaryota, Metazoa, Echinodermata, Asteroidea, Forcipulatida, Asteriidae. The transcript is spliced from 2 exons.